AGAGAAGCCACUGACAGCACAGGCCAAGGCGGAGACGGUGGAGGAACAGGGUGGUGAAUCCUCAAUUAACGGGAUGCUCAGGGAAGCCAUGCAGGCUGCGUAAAGCUGUUGUGAAAGGCCGCAUUUAGAAUAGACGCAGCAGCCUCUCAGCGCUAUCACUAACUUCAGCAGGCAGAAAGGCAGUUUCAGAGUUCUAGUCAGUGGUGAGAUGGGAGAUUAUUUCCUCUGGAAACCCUGAAUCUGUCUCUCUGAAAGCAUCUUCAUACUGUUAAAGGACUUGCUUAAUGGUAUGGCUCAGAGGUUCCAAAACUCAGUUUCUGAAACUAAUUCAAAAUGUGCGCUCAAGAAACAAAAGGAAAGAAACAAUCACGAGCAAAAAUACCAAAGACAUAAUGAUUUCAACUAAUGUCAAAUUCCCCGAGGAACCAGGGAGCUUGUCAAUAUUUGGGGAAAGGUGAAAGAACAUAGAAUAUCCUUUUUUCCGAGUAAUAUUAUUGAAUUUAAUAAUUUAGUGGAAAUGUUCAUUUAAUUAUGCAUUAAUGGGUAUGUAGUGAUCAUUUUUACAAAGUGCCAGGCGUGGUUGCUAGGCACAAGAGCUACUAAGAAGAAAGACACACCUCUGAAGUUAAAGAACAUUUAUUAGUCUUCUUGGAGUGAAUACCAAAACUUCCUGUGAUAAGACACAGACACCAGAAAGCUUUAAAAGAGUGAUUUAAGGAGGUAACCAGCACUUGCAGCCAACACUAUUAUGACUCCCUCAAGAUGUACACACACUGGAAUAAGCAUAAACAUUUACAAGGACAGGAAAAUUGAAUUCCUGAAAAUAUAUACCAAGCUGUAUUUUCACAAAUAAUCUUGUUUAUAGAUGCAUCAAUAUUCCUUGAGACUUGUUUGCAAUCACAGUUGUCCUCAGAGUUUUGAAGGCUUGUCAGAUGUUAAAGGAUUAGCCUUGGUCAGUAUAACUCUAGGAUAUUAACAUUCACUGGGCACCUACAUCUGAUUGGAAUCAUGCUAGGGGCUAGAGAAACAAAGAGAAGACACAUCCCUUUUCCCCUAGGCCUCAGAGUCUAAAGGGGGAGAGAAGCAAGUAAACACUCCAUUACAGUAAGUCCAUAUUGUAACUGGCAGGACAGACAUACACACAACCUGCUGUAGGAGCCAAAGGACGAGACUCUACAACCACGAGAUUGAGUAACCAGGAGACUGUCCGCAGCUCGUGUCUAAAUGCCUAGCUGAAAUCCAGAGAUGUCCAGCAGAGGAAUGGGAAGUAUCUAUAUAAAAAAAAAAGUCAUCUUUCCAAGUAUACCAUGAAUCUGGACUUCAAUUUCCCACUGAUUUCUUUCCUGCUGCUGACAAUGGUCACAUCACAAAAUCCUGUCUCAUCCACAAUAGGAGGGCUUAAGUUGCAUCACGUUGUCUUCAGAAACUGCAGAGCAUCUGUAGGAUCAACUAACGCAGAAAAAUUAAGUAGAAGUUCAAGGUUAGAUAAAGAACAGCAGGCACACAGUGAGUUACUCUUACCAUCACCGUGGGAAAUGGAGUUGAGGAGAGACGCAUCCACCUUCACUGUCUGCUCUUACCGUCUAAGAUUGGCAAGUUUGAGACCCUGUAAAUGAGUACACGGAAUGAUCAAAAGCAGUUAACAAGGACACGUUGGUCUCAGAAACACACAGGCUACUUUGGCAUGUGGGCGACUAAGAAUGAAGCCAACAGGAAAAGAAGUAAGAAGUAAAGAUGGGGAUGAAGUCCUGACAGCGCUGUUUGGGCCCCUGACCGAGCUGUACUUCAAACGAGACUAUCCCCUGGACUUUCAAGCAACUUGAGCCGAUAAAUUCCCCUUAUUUUUAAGCUAGGUAGAAUUGGUUUUCUUUCACAUGCAACAGAAAGAAUCCUAAGUGAUAUAUUUAGGAACUGAGAGGAACUAAACCUGCUAGUUGAAGGCAUCGUCUCUACAGCCAACAAAAGCUCAAGUAGUCAAAUCCGAUAGAUUCACAGCGUGGUCAACGGCGCUCUUCAAUGUCUUUGACUGGAUCUUUCUGUAUUCUUACUCGUGUUCACAAUCAGCCCACAUCUGAUUUUGAUAGAGUCAUUUUUUCUAAAUAUCUUUCCCAAUAGAAGGAAUAAAAUAUCUUGAGUUUUAUACAUGUGAAUCCCAUAUCUCCAUCUAUUUUUAAGCAUGUCCCUAAGACUCAAAACUCAAAAUUGUUAUUUUAUGAUGAGUCUUAAACAAAAACAAAAACAAAACCUCAAGGGUUUAAUCUGGAAUACUAAUCGGGUUGAAAAUAAACACAAAAGUUCAGCGGCCAAGAAUGAAAUAGUGAAAGACCAUUAUGACUUUUCUUUAGGCUCCAG
This 2352-nucleotide long non-coding RNA is filed under the name Equus asinus (donkey). Its description in RNAcentral is "lncRNA (ENSEASG00005031676.1)". Lineage: Eukaryota; Metazoa; Chordata; Mammalia; Perissodactyla; Equidae. The record is from RNAcentral.